RNAcentral lists this ribosomal RNA (554 nucleotides) under Triticum aestivum (bread wheat). Its description in RNAcentral is "partial small subunit ribosomal RNA". The record is from RNAcentral. Lineage: Eukaryota; Viridiplantae; Streptophyta; Magnoliopsida; Poales; Poaceae.
UUUUGGCCCUCUGCAAAGCCAAUUCCCCGGGGCUGGUUUUUCUUUUUGAAAAUAGACAAGCCUCAAGCAAGAUGGAGAAGAUCAAGUUUAGAUUGCAGAUGAGAGGAUUUGCAUGUGUAUCCAGUGAUGGGCUCAGUGGGGGCCUGGCCCUCUAUUUGGAUGAAAAUUUACAAGUGACAGUUUUGGACUCGUGUGCACGGUAUAUAGACGUGCGUAUUGUAGAUGGAGCAAAUGAUAAAACAUGGAGGACGACCUAUGUGUACGGAGAACCACGGGUGGAUAACAGACACCGUAUGUGGAGUGCUCUAUCAAAUUUACGUGCCACCUCCUCGGAGCCGUGGCUAGUGUGUGGGGAUUUCAAUGAAGCCAUGUGGCAACAUGAACACGUUUCUCAUACGCAACGAUCGGAGGCUCAAUUGCAGCAAUUCAGGGAUUGUCUACUGGCCUGUGAAUUAAUGGACUUGGGGUUCUCCGGGAUCCCGUAUACAUAUGACAAUGGACAAGUGGGCAACAGAAACGUCCGGGUUCGGUUGGAUAGAGCAUGUGCUGAUGAA